AUCUACAGGAUCUGAAGACCCAGCCUAUUCCAGUGUUCAAGGUGGAGAGCAGACUGGACUCUGACCAACAACACAGUCUGCAGGCACAUCCAAGCACUCCUGUGUGAUUAUGUACAUAUUCAAACACAUUUUUUAACUUUUUUAAAUUUUGAUGUGAAGUUAUAGUUUUAUAACUGGCUUAAGUUAAGUUUUAUUGGAGAAAUCUUGCCUAUAAUUCUAUAAAGAGAAAUGACAUUCCACAAAUGUCAAGCAUAUCUUUUUUACACAGAUUAUGCAAAGCUAAGAGUUGUAUCUUAUCCCGUUAGUACAGUAUGUAAUAGUGGGUCUGCUGCUACUUUCUGUUUUAAGGUGUGAGGUUACAAUUCAAUCUCUUCUUCAAAUCAGAACAAGAAUUCUCUGGAAUAGCAGGUUCUUACUUGGUAAAGUAUUUACUUCCCUUGAUUCUAUCUUUCUUGUCUCUUGCCAUACUUGUUUAUGUGGCAGAAAGCAGAUUUAUGGUUUAGUACUUGUGUCUUCAUGGCACUCCAUUAGUUUCCACUGUAAAAUGGUAUUGGUUUCAGGAAAGGCUCCUGCAUCUGGUACGUGGACAAGUGAGUUGCUUAAUUCUAACCACAAAGAAGACAUGGUCUCUAAAGAAAACUGGUUUUUAGCAAAAGAGGAAGCACAGCACUUUCGGAUCCAGGCCGCCUUUUUGUGUCUGUUAUUUAAAACC
Molecule: long non-coding RNA, 712 nt
Filed under: Rattus norvegicus (Norway rat)
Lineage: Eukaryota; Metazoa; Chordata; Mammalia; Rodentia; Muridae
Description: long non-coding RNA NONRATT015655
Source: RNAcentral